GCCUGGGUAGCUCAGUCGGUUGAGCGUCCGACUUCGGCUCAGGUCAUGAUCUUGCGGUCUGUGAGUUCGAGCCCCACGUCGGGCU
Molecule: transfer RNA, 85 nt
Filed under: Felis catus (domestic cat)
Lineage: Eukaryota; Metazoa; Chordata; Mammalia; Carnivora; Felidae
Rfam family: tRNA
About the family: Transfer RNA (tRNA) molecules are approximately 80 nucleotides in length. Their secondary structure includes four short double-helical elements and three loops (D, anti-codon, and T loops). Further hydrogen bonds mediate the characteristic L-shaped molecular structure. tRNAs have two regions of fundamental functional importance: the anti-codon, which is responsible for specific mRNA codon recognition, and the 3' end, to which the tRNAs corresponding amino acid is attached (by aminoacyl-tRNA synthetases). tRNAs cope with the degeneracy of the genetic code in two manners: having more than one tRNA (with a specific anti-codon) for a particular amino acid; and 'wobble' base-pairing, i.e. permitting non-standard base-pairing at the 3rd anti-codon position.
Source: Rfam by way of RNAcentral